Long non-coding RNA from Chenopodium quinoa (quinoa), 1347 nucleotides. RefSeq lists it as uncharacterized. Lineage: Eukaryota; Viridiplantae; Streptophyta; Magnoliopsida; Caryophyllales; Amaranthaceae. The transcript is spliced from 3 exons. The record is from RefSeq and is a predicted model, not a curated record.
ACGUGGCAUUCUUGCCAUUGAUGAAUCGAAUGCAACUUGUGGGAAGAGACUGGCAUCAAUUGGCUUAGAUAACACUGAGAACAAUCGUCAGAUGUAUAGGCAGCUCUUACUGACAACUCCUGGUCUUGGCGAACACAUUUCUAGUGUCAUUCUGUUUGAGGAAACACUCUACCAGUCUACAACGGAUGGCAAGAAAUUGUCGACUGCUUACUUGAUGAGAAUGUCGUGCCUGUCAUCAAGGUCGACAAGAUGUUGGUUCCUCUGCCAGGCUCAAACAAUGAAUCUUGGUGCCAAGGGUUAGAUGGCCUGGCUUCAAGGUCUGCUGAGUAUUAUAAUCAGGGUGCUCGAUUUGCAAAAUGGCGUAUUCCAUGUGAACCUUUUGCUUUGGCAGUUAAGGAAGCUGCUUGGGGAAUCGCUCGUUAUGAUGCUAUCUCUCAGGUUCAUACUAAGCUUUCUUUGCUUUAUGUUCCAUUCUCCAUGCUUCAGUUUGAGGUGGAAGUGGUGGCCUGGUGGGUGGUGAAUUGGUGAUGGUCUGAUGGUAUAUGGUAUAUGUCUUUGUUCAACCUUUUGGAUCUAUUAUUCUAUAUCUGGCGUAUCAACUAGCUUCAAGACUAAACAACCUACAUACAAACUUUUCAACCUGUACUGAAGAAUGGAUCAGUUGCUUUCAGGCUGCCACUAUGCUCCCUGAAUUCUGCUUAAAUUGAAAUUAACCAUCAUGGACUCAAUUAUUAUGCAAAAUUGACAUGGACACCAUUGGAAAGGGGUUUAGGUGCCAAAGUAUACAGUUAAGAUGAUACAGCUUAAGAAAUAGUAGUUUGGCAAGUUUAGAGAUGUAGAGAAAUCACCAAUUCUUCUUCCCACCACGCUUCCCAACUCUCCUCACCCUUAACACCAAUUCCACCUCUAUAAAGAAGCCAAUCUGUCCAAUCACUGAAGUCUUCCACAGUCCUAGACAUAACAAAUGGAAACAUGAAUUAGUAUAAUUAAAUUAAGCAAAGUUGUUGAUGUCCACAAAAGCUAGAUAGCUUUUAAGUCACAAACCCCCCAACUUACUUUUGCCACUCGAAACCGGAUGGAUUGAACAGGUAGGGAGCAAAUAGCCAAGAGAGGGCCAUAAACCAACUGCUGAUAGAAAGCAGAAUGUAGCCUAUCGCACCACCAUCAUUAUAGCCAUAAGCAAGAAAAACAAUCAACAAAAGCACAACUUCAAGCCUGCAAUGAGAAAGCCAUACAGCUCAAAGACUGUUCAAGACACUAUACGAGCAACAUGACAAGGAGAAAAGGAUAUACCCUUUGACAAAAUGACUCCGGGAAUAAAGCCUGUAGUUUUCGCUCAACUUUAUA